RNAcentral lists this ribosomal RNA (465 nucleotides) under uncultured bacterium. Its description in RNAcentral is "partial 16S ribosomal RNA". It matches the Rfam family "Bacterial small subunit ribosomal RNA", at positions 28 to 507 of the family's 1533-position model. The record is from RNAcentral.
GACGAACGCUGGCGGCGUGCUUAACACAUGCAAGUCGAACGGAAAGGCCCCUUUGGGGGUACUCGAGUGGCGAACGGGUGAGUAACACGUGAGUAACCUGCCCUUGACUUCGGGAUAACUUCAGGAAACUGGGGCUAAUACCGGAUAGGAAUCCUUGCUGCAUGGUGGGGGUUGGAAAGCUUCGGCGGUUUUGGAUGGACUCGCGGCUUAUCAGCUUGUUGGUGGGGUAGUGGCUUACCAAGGCUUUGACGGGUAGCCGGCCUGAGAGGGCGACCGGCCACAUUGGGACUGAGAUACGGCCCAGACUCCUACGGGAGGCAGCAGUGGGGAAUAUUGCACAAUGGGCGGGAGCCUGAUGCAGCAACGCCGCGUGCGGGAUGACGGCCUUCGGGUUGUGAACCGCUUUCAGCAGGGGCGAAGCUUGUGGUGACGGUACCUGCAGAAGAAGCACCGGCUAACUACGUG